RNAcentral lists this ribosomal RNA (236 nucleotides) under uncultured archaeon. RNAcentral describes it as "partial 16S ribosomal RNA". It matches the Rfam family "Archaeal small subunit ribosomal RNA", at positions 489 to 724 of the family's 1478-position model. The record is from RNAcentral.
UGAUGGCCGAUCUUAUUGGGCCUAAAGCGUCCGUAGCUGGCUGCGCAAGUCCGUCGGGAAAUCCACUCGCCCAACGAGUGGGCGUCCGACGGAAACUGCACAGCUUGGGACCGGAAGGCUCGAAGGGUACGUUCGGGGUAGGAGUGAAAUCCCAUAAUCCCGCACGGACCACCGAUGGCGAAAGCACUUCGAGAAAACGGAUCCGACAGUGAGGGACGAAAGCCAGGGUCUCCAAC